GACGAACGCUGGCGGCGUGCUUAACACAUGCAAGUCGAACGGAAAGGCCCUGCUUUUGUGGGGUGCUCGAGUGGCGAACGGGUGAGUAACACGUGAGUAACCUGCCCUUGACUUUGGGAUAACUUCAGGAAACUGGGGCUAAUACCGGAUAGGAGCUCCUGCUGCAUGGUGGGGGUUGGAAAGUUUCGGAGGUUGGGGAUGGACUCGCGGCUUAUCAGCUUGUUGGUGGGGUAGUGGCUUACCAAGGCUUUGACGGGUAGCCGGCAUGAGAGGGUGACCGGCGACAUUGGGACUGAGAGACGGCCCAGAGUCCUACGGGAGGCAGCAGUGGGGAAUAUUGUACAAUGGGCGGAAGCCUGAGGAAGCAGCGCCGCGUGCGGGAUGACGGCCUUCGGGGUGUAAACCGCUUUAGCCUGUGACGAAGCGUGAGUGACGGUAAUGGGUGAAGAAGCACCGGCUAACUACGUG
Molecule: ribosomal RNA, 468 nt
Filed under: uncultured bacterium
Lineage: Bacteria
Description: partial 16S ribosomal RNA
Rfam family: Bacterial small subunit ribosomal RNA
Source: RNAcentral